Molecule: ribosomal RNA, 468 nt
Filed under: uncultured bacterium
Lineage: Bacteria
Description: partial 16S ribosomal RNA
Rfam family: Bacterial small subunit ribosomal RNA
Source: RNAcentral
GACGAACGCUGGCGGCGUGCUUAACACAUGCAAGUCGAACGGAAAGGCCCUGCUUUUGUGGGGUGCUCGAGUGGCGAACGGGUGAGUAACACGUGAGUAACCUGCCCUUGACUUUGGGAUAACUUCAGGAAACUGGGGCUAAUACCGUAUAGGAGCUCCUGCUGCAUGGUGGGGGUUGGAACGUUUCGGCUGGUGGGGAUGGAUGCGCGGCUUAUCAGCUUGUUGGUUGGGUAGCGGCUUACCAAGGCUGUGACGGGUAGCCGGCCUGAGAGGGUGACCGGCGACAAUGGGCCUGAGAGACGGACCAGAGUCGUACGGGAGGCAGCAGGGGGGAACAUUGUACAGUGGGAGGGAGCCUGAUGCAGAAACGCCGCGUGCGUGAUGACGGCCUUCGGGUUGUAAAACGCUUUCGCCUGAGACGACGCGUGAGUGACGGUAAUGGAUGAAUAAGCACCGGCUAACUACGUG